This 793-nucleotide ribosomal RNA is filed under the name Bacillus tequilensis. Its description in RNAcentral is "bacterial SSU rRNA". Lineage: Bacteria; Bacillati; Bacillota; Bacilli; Caryophanales; Bacillaceae. The record is from RNAcentral.
UGGGAGCUUGCUCCCUGAUGUUAGCGGCGGACGGGUGAGUAACACGUGGGUAACCUGCCUGUAAGACUGGGAUAACUCCGGGAAACCGGGGCUAAUACCGGAUGGUUGUUUGAACCGCAUGGUUCAAACAUAAAAGGUGGCUUCGGCUACCACUUACAGAUGGACCCGCGGCGCAUUAGCUAGUUGGUGAGGUAAUGGCUCACCAAGGCRACGAUGCGUAGCCGACCUGAGAGGGUGAUCGGCCACACUGGGACUGAGACACGGCCCAGACUCCUACGGGAGGCAGCAGUAGGGAAUCUUCCGCAAUGGACGAAAGUCUGACGGAGCAACGCCGCGUGAGUGAUGAAGGUUUUCGGAUCGUAAAGCUCUGUUGUUAGGGAAGAACAAGUACCGUUCGAAUAGGGCGGUACCUUGACGGUACCUAACCAGAAAGCCACGGCUAACUACGUGCCAGCAGCCGCGGUAAUACGUAGGUGGCAAGCGUUGUCCGGAAUUAUUGGGCGUAAAGGGCUCGCAGGCGGUUUCUUAAGUCUGAUGUGAAAGCCCCCGGCUCAACCGGGGAGGGUCAUUGGAAACUGGGGAACUUGAGUGCAGAAGAGGAGAGUGGAAUUCCACGUGUAGCGGUGAAAUGCGUAGAGAUGUGGAGGAACACCAGUGGCGAAGGCGACUCUCUGGUCUGUAACUGACGCUGAGGAGCGAAAGCGUGGGGAGCGAACAGGAUUAGAUACCCUGGUAGUCCACGCCGUAAACGAUGAGUGCUAAGUGUUAGGGGGUUUCCGCCCCUUAGUGCUGC